GUGCCUGCUUCAGCAGCACAUAUACUAAAAUUGAAUGAUAAAGAGAAGAUCAGAAUGGCCCCUGUGCGAGGAUGACAUGCAAAUUUGUGAAGCGUUCCAUAUUUUU
Molecule: small nuclear RNA, 106 nt
Filed under: Prolemur simus (greater bamboo lemur)
Lineage: Eukaryota; Metazoa; Chordata; Mammalia; Primates; Lemuridae
Source: RNAcentral